Molecule: long non-coding RNA, 435 nt
Filed under: Lytechinus variegatus (green sea urchin)
Lineage: Eukaryota; Metazoa; Echinodermata; Echinoidea; Temnopleuroida; Toxopneustidae
Description: uncharacterized LOC121426808
Source: RNAcentral
AAAAAGUUGAAGAUAUCUCUCUCGAUCUCUCUCAUCGUGAUCGCAUAGCUAGCUAGCUGCAGAGAUUAUACAGAAAUCGUUGUGGGAGUGUGUGCAGUGCUACCGAAAUUGUUUACAAACUUCGUUAACUACGUUUUCGGGCUUGGAAAUUCGUCUUUAUUCGUGGAUUGAUUCUGAUACCGAUUCUGUGAUCUUGGAUUAAUAUUUCUGUGUGAUAGAGAUUACUGUCAACCCGACGUAAAUAGGAGUAGGAAUCGACUGGAUUUUAUUCGGGAGUGGAUAAUCUAGGAUUCAGGGCCUUUUAGUGAAAAAGACUCAACCAUGGGGAACGGCGAGAGUUCCCCCCAGCUGAAGCGAAGGAAUAGCUACCCUUUGAUGGCAUCAAAGCAGGCCAUGCCAGAGAAAAUGGAGCUCGAUGAUCGUUUCAUGAGAAUU